UAAGCGGUUGAAGGUGUGUGGUAACGCAUGCUGGACGUAUCAGAAGUGCGAAUGCUGACAUGAGUAACGAUAAAGGGGGUGAAAAACCUCCUCGCCGGAAGACCAAGGGUUCCUGUCCAACGUUAAUCGGGGCAGGGUAAGUCGACCCCUAAGGCGAGGCCGAAAGGCGUAGUCGAUGGGAAACGGGUUAAUAUUCCCGUACUUCUUACAAUUGCGAUGGGGGGACGGAGAAGGCUAGGUGGGCCUGGCGACGGUUGUCCAGGUUCAAGUGCGUAGGCUUAAGAGUUAGGUAAAUCCGGCUCUUUUUAAGGCUGAGACACGACGUCGAGCACCUACGGGUGUGAAGUCAUUGAUGCCAUGCUUCCAGGAAAAGCCUCUAAGCUUCAGAUUGUAAGGAAUCGUACCCCAAACCGACACAGGUGGUCGGGUAGAGAAUACCAAGGCGCUUGAGAGAACUCGGGUGAAGGAACUAGGCAAAAUGGUACCGUAACUUCGGGAGAAGGUACGCUCUUGAUGGUGAAGUCCCUCGCGGAUGGAGCUGACGAGAGUCGCAGAUACCAGGUGGCUGCAACUGUUUAUUAAAAACACAGCACUGUGCAAAAUCGUAAGAUGACGUAUACGGUGUGACGCCUGCCCGGUGCCGGAAGGUUAAUUGAUGGGGUUAGACUUCGGUCGAAGCUCUUGAUCGAAGCCCCGGUAAACGGCGGCCGUAACUAUAACGGUCCUAAGGUAGCGAAAUUCCUUGUCGGGUAAGUUCCGACCUGCACGAAUGGCGUAAUGAUGGCCACGCUGUCUCCACCCGAGACUCAGUGAAAUUGAAAUCGCUGUGAAGAUGCAGUGUACCCGCGGCUAGACGGAAAGACCCCGUGAACCUUUACUACAGCUUGGCACUGAACAUUGACCCUACAUGUGUAGGAUAGGUGGGAGGCUUUGAAGCACGUACGCCAGUAUGUGUGGAGCCGUCCUUGAAAUACCACCCUUGUAGUGUUGAUGUUCUAACGUCGACCCCUUAUCGGGGUUGCGGACAGUGCCUGGUGGGUAGUUUGACUGGGGCGGUCUCCUCCCAAAGAGUAACGGAGGAGCACGAAGGUGGGCUAAUCACGGUUGGACAUCGUGAGGUUAGUGCAAUGGCAUAAGCCCGCUUGACUGCGAGAAUGACAAUUCGAGCAGGUGCGAAAGCAGGUCAUAGUGAUCCGGUGGUUCUGAAUGGAAGGGCCAUCGCUCAACGGAUAAAAGGUACUCCGGGGAUAACAGGCUGAUACCGCCCAAGAGUUCAUAUCGACGGCGGUGUUUGGCACCUCGAUGUCGGCUCAUCACAUCCUGGGGCUGAAGUCGGUCCCAAGGGUAUGGCUGUUCGCCAUUUAAAGUGGUACGCGAGCUGGGUUUAGAACGUCGUGAGACAGUUCGGUCCCUAUCUGCCGUGGGCGUUGGAAGAUUGAAGGGGGCUGCUCCUAGUACGAGAGGACCGGAGUGGACGAACCUCUGGUGUUCGGGUUGUGUCGCCAGACGCAUUGCCCGGUAGCUAAGUUCGGAAUCGAUAACCGCUGAAAGCAUCUAAGCGGGAAGCGAGCCCUGAGAUGAGUCUUCCCUGAUACUUUAAGUAUCCUAAAGGGUUGUCGGAGACUACGACGUUGAUAGGUCAGGUGUGUAAGUGCUGUGAGGCAUUGAGCUAACUGAUACUAAUUGCCCGUGAGGCUUAACCAU
RNAcentral lists this ribosomal RNA (1704 nucleotides) under Vibrio parahaemolyticus. Its description in RNAcentral is "partial 23S ribosomal RNA". It matches the Rfam family "Bacterial large subunit ribosomal RNA", at positions 1243 to 2925 of the family's 2925-position model. Lineage: Bacteria; Pseudomonadati; Pseudomonadota; Gammaproteobacteria; Vibrionales; Vibrionaceae. The record is from RNAcentral.